RNAcentral lists this ribosomal RNA (164 nucleotides) under uncultured bacterium. Its description in RNAcentral is "partial 16S rRNA". It matches the Rfam family "Bacterial small subunit ribosomal RNA", at positions 355 to 511 of the family's 1533-position model. The record is from RNAcentral.
UAGGGAAUCUUCCACAAUGGACGCAAGUCUGAUGGAGCAACGCCGCGUGAGUGAAGAAGGGUUUCGGCUCGUAAAGCUCUGUUGUUAAAGAAGAACGUGGGUAAGAGUAACUGUUUACCCAGUGACGGUAUUUAACCAGAAAGCCACGGCUAACUACGCACCAG